Esox lucius (northern pike) is the source of this 2349-nucleotide long non-coding RNA. RefSeq lists it as uncharacterized. The record is from RefSeq and is a predicted model, not a curated record. Lineage: Eukaryota; Metazoa; Chordata; Actinopteri; Esociformes; Esocidae. The transcript is spliced from 3 exons.
GCGGGAGUGGAAGUUUUGUUACGUGUUGUUUUCUGUGGUUUUGUUUUUCCCUUGAAUGUUUAGCGGACAAAGAAGAAUAGCCGCCCGCUCUUUUAUCCAAGAUUAUGAAUGUUGUUACAACUGUAUGUUGACACUGGUAAUGUUACGUAAAUGCAACCGUCAAAGUGUUCUUUAACAAGCUGUGGUUUUCCACAGUCGGGAGGUUUGGUUUGCUGUUGGUGUGUUCUGAGAACAGAAGGAUGGAAGACCAGAUGGGAUGAGAGAACGAGAUGCAGGAAGACAAUGAUGUGCCACUGGUGGAACGUGUGUCUUAGGUGAGGACAGACACAGAGCAGAUUGCAGUCUGACACACACACACACACACACACACACACAGAUUCAGCAACAUUCACAAGCCCUAUGUGUUUGGUUUUCACACACUCCUACUCUCCACCACUGGGCCUUUCCAUAGCACAACUGUGUGUAACAGACUGUUAUACCUCGGCUGUGGAACGUCAGUGUAAUACCCACGGAAGUUCAUAUUCAAUGAUGUUGUGGUAUGUAGUUAGGGUGUGGGAGAAGGGGUGGAGGAGAAUCUGUGAGGAACGGGCAGGGAACAUUGAGGGCCGGGUGCUUAUCACCGUGUGCUACGAACAGAGGGGGGGGGAUGGAGGAGGUGCCAAGAGGGGUGCUGGAGGUUGAGGGGUAGAGGGAGGGACAAGAAUGUCUGUUUGUUUUUACUCGGAGGCCUCAUCAAGGAUUUUUAUGUCAUAUAGCCAAAAUAACAUGUUGUUUAUGUUCAUCGAGUUGUGUGUCUAGGUCUUAAAUUUCCAAGUUAAAAGUGAAUGGAACUGGUUACUGAACGUCCGCUCUUUUCAGAAUUGAUAAGGGAUUUUCAGAGUUGGUGGUAUUCACCAUUUUGUGACAGGCAGCUUUUGAGCUAGCUUUAACAUUCCUUCCUCCGUUCCUUUCUCCAACCCCCCCCCCUCUCUCUUUCUGUCUCUCGAUCUUUCUCUCUCUCUCUCCUCCUUAAUCUCUUCUUAAUCUGGUGUCACAUGAUUUCUAAUUGGUCAGAGUGGAGUCUAAUCUGUAACGUCUCUGAAUAUACACCCCUGAUCAUUAGUAAGCUAUUCAGACCAGUAUGUCUUAUUCCCAUUCCAACUCUCACCAUGAGGACCUGUAGCACUGGCAGGCUGGUACCCAAAACUAGUUGGACUUUACUGGGGUCAGAUGUGUGUUUGCAUGUUUCAGAUGUGUGUUUGCAUGUGUCCGAGUUCUUCAGGGUGCAUUGUGUUUGUGUGAGUGUGAGUCUUCUCUGUGAACCUGUGUGUGUGUUUGAGAAAAUAGACCAGUCUUAGAUUUAUAGGAGCUGGCUGAGACACAGAUGUGGGGCCAGCUAGGCUGGCUAAUCCCCACCUGUCUGUCUUCUCUAAAGGUUUCACCACUGACUCAACACUGUCUCCUGAUCUGUCCAGUCUGAAAAACCAGGCUGCGGCAUUUGGUGAGCCACAUGUGACCAGAAUUCCAGGGCCCCUACAUGGCCAAAAGAUGUGCCAUUUUGGAGCAGGAUGGUUAUCUGAAAGCAGAUUGGCCCAGAGGGAAGGAACCUAAUUGCCAGAAGUGGGUGAACGGAGGAUGAUGAUGGAUAAGGAUAGCGUCCCCUCCCCCGUGCUAACUAAGCAUUGACCUGACCAGCCUGAACAAUGGACUGAGGUCAGCUGCCUGCCUUGCGUCCAGGAAUACCCCUGACCUGGACAGCACUCAGCACCACUCUGCCCCAAUGUGAUAAAUCUGUCUGGAGACAUCCAAGUAGUCAUGUUAUAGCACAACACUGUUAGUUCAGAUGCUGUGUUAACCUGAUGUACUGUGCAAUAUUCCACAAAUAAUACAAAUAAUAUCAAAAGAAAGAAAAUAAUAUGAUUUGGUGGUGUUCAAGCACUCUCUGGACAACUGAAGCAGUAUUUCUUUGCGCCAAUUUGCUAGUCUCAGUUCUUAUGUACUGCGUGUGGCUUAACCGCCCUUCCACAGGUGCAGUUUUAUGUCUGGACACUUGUCUUUUUAGUUCCACCCCUUUUAACGUUCUCCCAACAAACGAACAUCUCCAGGCUCCCCCAUUUGACCUUUAACCCUGAGUCUGACUAUGCUGCGGAAAACAUCUGCCUGGACGGGUGUUUACACUCCACGUCAGUCAACUAUUGUUUGUCAAGUGUUGUUCAGGUAAGGCCAUGAGGGCAGGAAGAGUCGGACAUUGUGCCACGAUCUGAAAUAGACCUCCACUUGGCCGCUCCACUUGGUUUAUGUCCGUUGGGAGUGUUAUUAUUUCUGAAACGAUUCAUCAUUGUUCCUCGAUCCCGGCAACCUAAAUCAAUC